This 424-nucleotide ribosomal RNA is filed under the name Verrucomicrobiota bacterium. RNAcentral's name for it is "Verrucomicrobia bacterium partial 16S ribosomal RNA". It matches the Rfam family "Bacterial small subunit ribosomal RNA", at positions 355 to 776 of the family's 1533-position model. The record is from RNAcentral. Lineage: Bacteria; Pseudomonadati; Verrucomicrobiota.
UGAGGAAUAUUGGUCAAUGGACGCAAGUCUGAACCAGCCAAGUAGCGUGCAGGAUGACGGCCCUAUGGGUUGUAAACUGCUUUUAUAUGGGGAUAAAGUGGGGAACGUGUUCCCUUUUGCAGGUACCAUAUGAAUAAGGACCGGCUAAUUCCGUGCCAGCAGCCGCGGUAAUACGGAAGGUUCGGGCGUUAUCCGGAGUUAUUGGGUUUAAAGGGAGCGUAGGCCGUUUGGUAAGCGUGUUGUGAAAUGUAGGAGCUCAACUUCUAGAUUGCAGCGCGAACUGUCAGACUUGAGUGCGCACAACGUAGGCGGAAUUCAUGGUGUAGCGGUGAAAUGCUUAGAUAUCAUGAAGAACUCCGAUUGCGAAGGCAGCUUACGGGAGCGCAACUGACGCUGAAGCUCGAAGGUGCGGGUAUCGAACAGG